Long non-coding RNA from Contarinia nasturtii (swede midge), 902 nucleotides. RefSeq lists it as uncharacterized. The transcript is spliced from 4 exons. The record is from RefSeq and is a predicted model, not a curated record. Lineage: Eukaryota; Metazoa; Arthropoda; Insecta; Diptera; Cecidomyiidae.
GCGUUGAAAUAGAGCGACAACAAUAGAAGUGAUUGUUAUAGGUAUACUACUAUAACUAUAACAAUCAUUUCUAUUGUUUUCACUCCGUAUCAUCGCCUGACGUCAUCCAGAUGAGCUGAAAUAUCCAGAUGACAAAAUCCAAAUAUAUUGUCUGGAUGUGGCACUUAUGGAACAUCUUCGAAACGAAAAUAGAUAUGAAUAUAAUUUUCUCUAAGAAUAUAAUCUUAAAAAAAAAUGUUUUAUAAGAUUUAGAGUCAAAUGGUUCGAAUUCAUUUAAUGAAAAUACCUAAUUCUACCCAUGGCAGAAGGCUUUAGCUAUGGGCAGUGGUCCUUCGGCUAAUAAAAAACCAAAUAAGAAGACUUUGAUAACAGUUCCAAAAUCAUCUUCAUUUCUAUUCUCAGUUCUAUCAAUGUACAGUUUAAGUGGAAAAGUUCAUUCAGUUAAAAAAUGGCACCCGAUCCUCAAAAUAACAUAUUCAGCAUAUUUUAAAUCGAUUUUAAUUCUGACCGUGAAAAUGGAUAUGAAGAUGGAUUUCUGGAAAAGCACAUGAUAUUUAUCAUAUAUUUAUGGACUCUGUUUUCAUAUUUUGGUGAUUUCAAUCAAUUAGAAGAAUUUGCAGAUAAAUUGUAUGACCUUUAUGAUGAUAUUGAAACUCCCGACAGCACAAAGAAAAUGAUUCAGAGAGUUUGCAUUGAUAUUCACACAAAUAUUUCCUCGAUGAAAGGUUCGAAGGGCAAACAUCCACCAGUCAUUUUCCACGGCCAAGUUUAAAUGUAACAUUUGAAGAACACAGAAACAUAACCAAAUACUUUUCGCAAUUUCUAUCUUACCUAGAUUCUUCAUUUACUUCAUGAUGAAUAAAAUCGUUUAGUAAAGAUUUUUUUUUGCCAAAAUAUGCUUG